AGUGAACGCUGGCGGUAGGCCUAACACAUGCAAGUCGAACGACAGCACAGAGGAGCUUGCUCCUUGGGUGGCGAGUGGCGGACGGGUGAGGAAUACAUCGGAAUCUACUCUGUCGUGGGGGAUAACGUAGGGAAACUUACGCUAAUACCGCAUACGACCUACGGGUGAAAGCAGGGGAUUUUCGGACCUUGCGCGAUUGAAUGAGCCGAUGUCGGAUUAGCUAGUUGGCGGGGUAAAGGCCCACCAAGGCGACGAUCCGUAGCUGGUCUGAGAGGAAGAUCAGCCACACUGGAACUGAGACACGGUCCAGACUCCUACGGGAGGCAGCAGUGGGGAAUAUUGGACAAUGGGCGCAAGCCUGAUCCAGCCAUACCGCGUGGGUGAAGAAGGCCUUCGGGUUGUAAAGCCCUUUUGUUGGGAAAGAAAUCCAUCUGGUUAAUACCCGGGUGGGAUGACGGUACCCAAAGAAUAAGCACCGGCUAACUUCGUGCCAGCAGCCGCAGUAA
RNAcentral lists this ribosomal RNA (506 nucleotides) under uncultured bacterium. Its description in RNAcentral is "partial 16S ribosomal RNA". It matches the Rfam family "Bacterial small subunit ribosomal RNA", at positions 29 to 523 of the family's 1533-position model. The record is from RNAcentral.